This 350-nucleotide long non-coding RNA is filed under the name Populus trichocarpa (black cottonwood). Its description in RNAcentral is "long non-coding RNA (PTRI_LNC003223)". The record is from RNAcentral. Lineage: Eukaryota; Viridiplantae; Streptophyta; Magnoliopsida; Malpighiales; Salicaceae.
GCCACUGUAUAUUACAAUUAAUAUCAUGGGCUAAUCUAAUCACUGCUGUUUCAACCAUUCUGACCUGUGCCGCAGUACAUGCUUGCUGGCAGUCCACUAGUUCUUACACAGUUAAAUUAUACAGGAUGGUUUGCCACUGUAUAUUACAAUUAAUUUCAUCAAAUCAAGGGGGGGAAUUGAAAAAAGGAACAAAAGAGAGUUUACGUGAAUAAACAAAACCAGAAAGGCUAGAUCUUGAAAAAUAACAUUCGGUGAAGAGCUCGAGAUCAGGAAGCUUAUGUGGCUGCAAAAGAUAAGCCUAAAGAGAGAGGCAGUACAAUCAUUUUGGUGGCAUGACGAUCAACUUCAAU